UCGUGACCUCGAACCAGCAGACCGCGAAUAUGUUUUUGCCGCAUUGGAUCCCGGCGAGUGGGUGCUUGCCCCUCUCCUCUUCUCCAACGCAUCAUCCGCCCGGCCCUCGCUGAAGCGAGCGUGCUAGGCGGGCCGAACAACAAAACCACGGCGCGGAAUGCGUCAAGGAUCCCCAAACGCGGAGCGACGCUCCCGUCCUGCGCCCUUCCGCGGGCGUCGUGCGCGGAAUGUUCGUCUCCUUGGAUUGAGUAUGAAAUAAC
Molecule: unclassified non-coding RNA, 260 nt
Filed under: Pinguicula jackii
Lineage: Eukaryota; Viridiplantae; Streptophyta; Magnoliopsida; Lamiales; Lentibulariaceae
Description: ITS1
Source: RNAcentral